AUGACACCCUUCAACCAGAUAAACAAAGCAACGAGGAGGGGCAUGUUGUUAGAUGGAGUGUGUAACGAACAGAAUACUCCCUGCCACAUUACAGACAAUGGGAGAGCCCCGCAGGACGCUGCAUAUGUCCUGGUUCACAGGAUGUGCUGGGGCUGUCGGGCACCGUGUUGGGAGGCAGAGGAACAUGCGAUGUCGGCGCUGGGUGGGUUCAGAGUGCAGUGGUGGCAUCGUCCCCAAGCAUCACUCGGCAGUGGCACCAUGCUGAUGUGUCACCCAACAGCAGAAGACAAUCCCUAUGGUGGUGAAAACGGUGAGGGCGAUGGCUCCAGGCUCGCUGCGAGAAGGAAACAGCCAAGUUGGGGUCGUGGCUUCGCUCAGCUCCCAGCAAAGCAGGCAUUGCCAUGCUGCGUCCUCAGGGAACAGCAGCAACCAAAGCAUCCAGCAUGGGGACACGGUACAAAAUGCUGCAACGCAGGCCUGUGCGGGGAUGGGUGUUGCUUCUUCGGGACCUACAGACCAGCAGACACGAGCCCAUACAGCCACAGGACCCUACCCAAGCCCCUUCCCCCCACCACACACAAACCCUACUUGUUAGUCAACUUUGCUUUAAAAAAACUGUAUUUUAAAGGUUAUCAAUUCUAA
This 642-nucleotide long non-coding RNA is filed under the name Meleagris gallopavo (turkey). RNAcentral's name for it is "lncRNA (ENSMGAG00000021921.1)". Lineage: Eukaryota; Metazoa; Chordata; Aves; Galliformes; Phasianidae. The record is from RNAcentral.